Molecule: ribosomal RNA, 448 nt
Filed under: uncultured bacterium
Lineage: Bacteria
Description: bacterial SSU rRNA
Rfam family: Bacterial small subunit ribosomal RNA
Source: RNAcentral
GACGAACGCUGGCGGCGUGCCUAACACAUGCAAGUCGAGCGAGAAAUUUUUAACGGAUUCCUUCGGGGAGAAGAUAAGGAUGGAAAGCGGCGGACGGGUGAGUAACGCGUGAGUAACCUGCCUUUAGGAGGGGGACAACAUUCCGAAAGGGAUGCUAAUACCGCAUAAAAUUAUUGUAUCGCAUGGUAUGAUAAUCAAAGAUUUAUCGCCUAAAGAUGGACUCGCGUCCGAUUAGCUAGUUGGUGGGGUAAAAGCCUACCAAGGCGACGAUCGGUAGCCGAACUGAGAGGUUGAUCGGCCACAUUGGGACUGAGACACGGCCCAGACUCCUACGGGAGGCAGCAGUGGGGGAUAUUGCGCAAUGGGGGAAACCCUGACGCAGCAACGCCGCGUGAGGGAAAAAGGCCUUCGGGUUGUAAACUUCUUUAAGUGUGGAAGAUAAUGACGG